Orbicella faveolata is the source of this 389-nucleotide long non-coding RNA. RefSeq lists it as uncharacterized. Lineage: Eukaryota; Metazoa; Cnidaria; Anthozoa; Scleractinia; Merulinidae. The record is from RefSeq and is a predicted model, not a curated record.
UUCCACCGCUCACACGGUACAGCUCACUAAGAACAGCAAAACUCCUAAAGACCAAGGACAGACUGGAUAAACAAGACAAGAUGCAACAAAAAAUCUAAUGAAGCAAGGGAGCUUUAGAAUUGUUGAUGGAUUGAAUGUCUAAAUGCAGCAUUUUUAACUACAAGAAGCCAUAGCAGUCACCUUGACUGACAAGGAAAAUAUGGUGAUUUUCAUGCGCUUUAGGAAGGCGUGGUUACCAUAAUGAUCUGGAUGGACAGUGGACAAACCUUGAUAGACAGUGGAGAAAUGUUGAAGGACAGUGGAAAGCCCAAAAUGUGCAGACCCUUGCCCAGCAGAGGAUGCUAGACAGCUGAGGUCAUUGCAAGACAGCAUGGACUUUGGAGAGACUA